UACGUAGGGCGCAAGCGUUGUCCGGAAUUAUUGGGCGUAAAGAGCUCGUAGGCGGUCUGUCGCGUCUGCCGUGAAAACCCGAGGCUUAACCUCGGGCCUGCGGUUGAUACGGGCGGGCUAGAGUUCGGUAGGGGAGACUGGAAUUCCUGGUGUAGCGGUGAAAUGCGCAGAUAUCAGGAGGAACACCGGUGGCGAAGGCGGGUCUCUGGGCCGAUACUGACGCUGAGGAGCGAAAGCGUGGGGAGCGAACAGG
This 253-nucleotide ribosomal RNA is filed under the name uncultured bacterium. RNAcentral's name for it is "partial 16S ribosomal RNA". It matches the Rfam family "Bacterial small subunit ribosomal RNA", at positions 524 to 776 of the family's 1533-position model. The record is from RNAcentral.